UACGAAGGGGCUAGCGUUGCUCGGAAUCACUGGGCGUAAAGGGUGCGUAGGCGGGUCUUAAGUCAGGGUGAAUCCUGGAGCUCAACUCCAGAACUGCUUGAUACUGAAGAUCUUGAGUCCGGAGAGGUGAGUGGAACUGCGAGUGUAGAGGUGAAUCGUAGAUAUCGCAAGAACACCAGUGGCGAAGGCGGCUCACUGGCCCGGUACUGACGCUGAGGCACGAAGCGUGGGAGCAACAGG
This 240-nucleotide ribosomal RNA is filed under the name uncultured bacterium. RNAcentral describes it as "partial 16S ribosomal RNA". It matches the Rfam family "Bacterial small subunit ribosomal RNA", at positions 524 to 776 of the family's 1533-position model. The record is from RNAcentral.